GCCUGGGUGGCUCAGUCAGUUAAGCAUCUGACUUCAGCUCAGAUCAUGAUCUCCCAGUUCGUGAGUUCGAGCCCCGCAUCAGGCU
RNAcentral lists this transfer RNA (85 nucleotides) under Felis catus (domestic cat). It matches the Rfam family "tRNA". Rfam says of the family: Transfer RNA (tRNA) molecules are approximately 80 nucleotides in length. Their secondary structure includes four short double-helical elements and three loops (D, anti-codon, and T loops). The record is from Rfam by way of RNAcentral. Lineage: Eukaryota; Metazoa; Chordata; Mammalia; Carnivora; Felidae.